RNAcentral lists this ribosomal RNA (491 nucleotides) under uncultured bacterium. Its description in RNAcentral is "bacterial SSU rRNA". It matches the Rfam family "Bacterial small subunit ribosomal RNA", at positions 24 to 518 of the family's 1533-position model. The record is from RNAcentral.
UCAGGAUGAACGCUGGCGGCGUGCUAACACAUGCAAGUCGACGAAGCAUUUACGGAACAUUUCGGAUGGAAGUUAAAUAGACUGAGUGGCGGACGGGUGAGUAACGCGUGGAUAACCUACCAUAUACAGGGGGACAACAGUUGGAAACGACUGCUAAUACCGCAUAAGCGCACAGUGCCGCAUGGCACGGUGUGAAAAACUCCGGUGGUAUAUGAUGGAUCCGCGUCUGAUUAGCUAGUUGGUGAGGUAACGGCCCACCAAGGCAACGAUCAGUAGCCGACCUGAGAGGGUGACCGGCCACAUUGGGACUGGGACACGGCCCAAACUCCUACGGGAGGCAGCAGUGGGGAAUAUUGCACAAUGGGCGAAAGCCUGAUGCAGCCGACGCCGCGUGAGCGAAGAAGUAUUUCGGUAUGUAAAGCUCUAUCAGCAGGGAAGAAAAUGACGGUACCUGACUAAGAAGCCCCGGCUAACUACGUGCCAGCAGCAGC